This 198-nucleotide ribosomal RNA is filed under the name uncultured bacterium. RNAcentral describes it as "partial 16S ribosomal RNA". It matches the Rfam family "Bacterial small subunit ribosomal RNA", at positions 328 to 539 of the family's 1533-position model. The record is from RNAcentral.
ACGCUCGACACCUACGGGAGGCAGCAGUGGGGAAUAUUGCACAAUGGGGGAAACCCUGAUGCAGCGACGCCGCGUGAAGGAAGAAGUAUUUCGGUAUGUAAACUUCUAUCAGCAGGGAAGAAACUGACGGUACCUGACUAAGAAGCACCGGCUAAAUACGUACCAGCAGCCGCGGUAAUCUGAGCGGGCUGGCAAGGC